This 212-nucleotide ribosomal RNA is filed under the name Staphylococcus aureus. Its description in RNAcentral is "partial 23S ribosomal RNA". It matches the Rfam family "Bacterial large subunit ribosomal RNA", at positions 1603 to 1816 of the family's 2925-position model. The record is from RNAcentral. Lineage: Bacteria; Bacillati; Bacillota; Bacilli; Caryophanales; Staphylococcaceae.
CACUGCCGAGAAAAGCCUCUAGAUAGAAAAUAGGUGCCCGUACCGCAAACCGACACAGGUAGUCAAGAUGAGAAUUCUAAGGUGAGCGAGCGAACUCUCGUUAAGGAACUCGGCAAAAUGACCCCGUAACUUCGGGAGAAGGGGUGCUCUUUAGGGUUAACGCCCAGAAGAGCCGCAGUGAAUAGGCCCAAGCGACUGUUUAUCAAAAACAC